AUGAACGCUGGCGGCGUGCCUAAUACAUGCAAGUCGAGCGAACGGACGAGAAGCUUGCUUCUCUGAUGUUAGCGGCGGACGGGUGAGUAACACGUGGAUAACCUACCUAUAAGACUGGGAUAGCUUCGGGAAACCGUAGCUAAUACCGGAUAAUAUUUUGAACCGCAUGGUUCAAAAGUGAAAGACGGUCUUGCUGUCACUUAUAGAUGGAUCUGCGCUGCAUUAGCUAGUUGGUAAGGUAACGGCUUACCAAGGCAACGAUGCAUAGCCGACCUGAGAGGGUGAUCGGCCACACUGGAACUGGGACACGGUCCAGACUCCUACGGGAGGCAGCAGUAGGGAAUCUUCCGCAAUGGGCGAAAGCCUGACGGAGCAACGCCGCGUGAGUGAUGAAGGUCUUCGGAUCGUAAAACUCUGUUAUUAGGGAAGAACAUAUGUGUAAGUAACUGUGCACAUCUUGACGGUACCUAAUCAGAAAGCCACGGCUAACUACGUG
RNAcentral lists this ribosomal RNA (496 nucleotides) under uncultured bacterium. RNAcentral describes it as "partial 16S ribosomal RNA". It matches the Rfam family "Bacterial small subunit ribosomal RNA", at positions 29 to 507 of the family's 1533-position model. The record is from RNAcentral.